RNAcentral lists this long non-coding RNA (1189 nucleotides) under Chloebia gouldiae (Gouldian finch). RNAcentral describes it as "Erythrura gouldiae (Gouldian finch) lncRNA (ENSEGOG00005018766.1)". Lineage: Eukaryota; Metazoa; Chordata; Aves; Passeriformes; Passeridae. The record is from RNAcentral.
CAGCCGUGUCUGGGGGUGACAGCUCUGUCUGGGGGUGACAGCCGUGUCCCCAGUGGGUGACAGGCGUGUCUGGGGGUGACAGCCGUGUCCCCAGCGCGGUGACAGCCGUGUCCCCCCAGAGGUGUUCCCGCCGCAGAUGGAGGGGGUGAAGCUGAUCGUCACCAAGACCCUGAGCAGCCACUUCCAGGUCGGCGAGGGGACACCCGGGGACACGAAGGGGGGGUGGCCGCGCCCCGUGACCGCCGGUGUCCCCGCAGGUGACACACACGGUGCACAUGAGCGCCCUGGGCCCCUCCGGCUACCGCUUCAACGCCACCUUCCUGGGGGACCGCCAGCUCGGGCCCACCGAGGUGUUCCCCACGCUGCUCGGGGACAUGGACAGCGCCGGCAGCCUGAACGCGCAGGCCCUGCAGCUGCUGGGCGAGCGCCUCCGCGCCAAGGCCGUGUUCCAGGUGAGCCCGGCCACGCCCCGUGCCACCCCCGUGCCACUCCCCGGUGUCACCCGCCCGUGUCACCCACCCGUGCCACCCCCCGAGCUGUCUCCAGCGCUGUCCCCGCGCCCCCAGACGCAGCAGGCCAAGUUCGUGACGUGGCAGUUUGACGGCGAGUACCGCGGUGACGACUGCACGGCCACGCUGACGCUGGGCAACCCCGACCUGCUGGGCGGCUCCGGUGAGCGCCGCCGGCCCCACGCCGACCACGGCGGCCCCUCGGUGAUCACGGUGGCCCCUCGGUGAUCCCGGCGGCCCCGUGGUGAUCCCAGUGACCCCGUGGUGAUCCCGGCGGCCCUGUGGUGAUCACGGCGGCCCCGUGGUGAUCCCGGUGGCCACGGAGAGAUCCCGGUGGCCACGGUGGCCCCGCGGUGAUCCCGGUGACCCCGCGGUGGUCCUGGUGGCUACGGAGAGAUCCCGGUGGCCACGGGGAAACCACUGAGGCCCCGCGGUGAUCCCGGUGGCCCCGCGGUGAUCCCGGUGGCCACGGUGGCCCCGCGGUGAUCCCGGUGGCCACGGUGGCCCCACGGUGAUCACGGUGACCCCGGCGACACCAUUGAGGCCCUGCAGUGAUCCCGGUGGCCCCGCGCCGAUCCUGGUGGCCCCACAGUGAUCCCGGUGGCCCCACAGUGAUCCCGGUGACCCCGCAGUGAUCCCGGUGACCCCGCAGUGAUCCCGGUGACCCCGGGGACACCGCU